This 497-nucleotide ribosomal RNA is filed under the name uncultured bacterium. RNAcentral's name for it is "partial 16S ribosomal RNA". It matches the Rfam family "Bacterial small subunit ribosomal RNA", at positions 28 to 507 of the family's 1533-position model. The record is from RNAcentral.
GAUGAACGCUGGCGGCGUGCCUAAUACAUGCCAGUCGAGCGAACGGACGAGAAGCUUGCUUUUCUGAUGUUAGCGGCGGACGGGUGGGUAACACGUGGAUAACCUACCUAUAAGACUGGGAUAACUUCGGGAAACCGGAGCUAAUACCGGAUAAUAUUUUGAACCGCAUGGUUCAUAAGUGAAAGACGGUCUUGCUGUCACUUAUAGAUGGAUCCGCGCUGCAUUAGCUAGUUGGUAAGGUAACGGCUUACCAAGGCAACGAUGCAUAGCCGACCUGAGAGGGUGAUCGGCCACACUGGAACUGAGACACGGUCCAGACUCCUACGGGAGGCAGCAGUAGGGAAUCUUCCGCAAUGGGCGAAAGCCUGACGGAGCAACGCCGCGUGAGUGAUGAAGGUCUUCGGAUCGUAAAACUCUGUUAUUAGGGAAGAACAUAUGUGUAAGUAACUGUGCACAUCUUGACGGUACCUAAUCAGAAAGCCACGGCUAACUACGUG